RNAcentral lists this long non-coding RNA (1503 nucleotides) under Oncorhynchus kisutch (coho salmon). Its description in RNAcentral is "lncRNA (ENSOKIG00005029706.1)". The record is from RNAcentral. Lineage: Eukaryota; Metazoa; Chordata; Actinopteri; Salmoniformes; Salmonidae.
CCACUCCAGCCAGCAGAUGGCGAUGAGCGUCUUUCAGGUGAUGAUUCUUCCGUGACGUAUAAUGGACUGGACGGACGCUUCUUCAGGAACAACAACGCGGCUACUCUUUCAACCACGUCGGUAGCUUGCUAGCCAACAUAAAAGUGAAAGAUUGACGCUUUAGACCAUCUUAAUGUACAUAAUCUAAUCUCAGUGUUUUACACAGAGUUCUUUUGACGUAUUAACUAGUUAAUAUUUGCAAACUUGUUAAAGAUUGAUGCUGAGCCUAGCACUAGGCUAGUCGCUAAUGCUAGCUAACUAUCUAGCUAACAUCCCUGACCAUGAGUUCAUUAAACUACUCAUCCCUGCUAUAGAAGAGGAGGUCUGCUGUUUGCAGAAAGAAGCUCUGGCGCUGAACAUUGAAGAAGAGGAUGAGGUUACAGUGAAAGAAGAGAAAGAACCUUUUAGAAUGAAAAAGGAGGAAGAUGAGACUGUUAUAGUGAAGGAAGAAGAUGCUGUUAUAGUGAAAGAACAUUUCAGAAUGAAAAAGGAGGAAGAGGAGGCUGUUAUAGUGAUAGAAGAGAAAGAACCGUUUAGAGAGGAAGAGGAUGCUAUCUCAAUAAAGGUGAAGGAGGAGGAGACAGAAUAUCAGAUUACCACCAGAGAGAGACAUGACUAUGGUGGAUCCUCUGGGAAGAAGCAUCAACAACAUCCUGAUGCUGACGAGGAAGAGAAGAGUCUCCAGAUCAGAACACAAGAUGGUACAGCUUGGUCUGGUCUAGCAUGCAGCUUGGUCUGGUCUUGCUCUCUCUGGGUCUGGUCUAGCUCUCUCUGGGUCUGGGCUGGGUUUCUGUAAAGCACUUUAUGACAACAGUGACAUCAGCAUCCAUAAUGAUAUGUGUCUGUGUCCCAUCUUUAUGGUUACCAGGACAACGCUAGCCCUUCCUCCCUCCUGGAGUCCCUGUGUCGUGCCUCUCCCGGUAGCGCCUUACUGCUGGGUAUGAAGAGGUUGUCUGUGCUGCUGGUGGACUGCAGGAAAACAACGGGGCUGAGUGGAACUGUGAGAGGAGGAGAAGAGAAGAAAGGAUCAGAUUUGAAACAUCAAAGUAAGUGCUGUAAUUUAGUUUGAACAAAUUAAAUAGAUCUGGUAUCUGUUACCAGGACAACCAGCAGAGUUCUGUUAGUUGACAUGAAGAUGGACUGGUAUCUGUUACCAGGACAACCAGCAGAGUUCUGUUAGUUGACAGGAAGAUGGACUGGUAUCUGUUAUCAGGACAACCAGCAGAGUUCUGUUAGUUGACAGGAAGAUAGACUGGUGUAUAUGGAUGUUAUGAAUAUCAUAACACUGAAAAAGGAUUCUGCCAAUGAAAAGAGAGAAACCAAUAGACCAUAUAAAACCUUGAUGAAAGUUAGCUUUGGAGAGAAAGUUUCAAGAUGAUCCAAUGUAAGGUGCUUUUUUUACAAAAACUAUUCCUUAAAACAUUAUGGAUGUUACAGUCAACCCCCCUAUCUUUACAAGACUGU